AAUAAACAGGACACUCACCGUCAGCCCGGGCUGCCACCACAACAGUUUGCUAUCCAGCAUUUAUCUAUUCAGUUGUGGACAGUCACUGAUGUCCUCUCUGCUGAGAAAAAAGCCCUGUCGGUACAUCUCGGACUGCAUGUGGCCCAGCCUCUCUGGGUUGGGGGAGAUCAGAGUCAUUGGUUGUAUGUUCAUGGGCUGAUUCCAUCCAAGUUUCAUCAAAACAUUGUGCAUGAAUUUCACAAAGAUUGUGCAAAAUGCAGCACGCUGUUACAACAUGUGGAACUCGCAAGAUUUGAACAUCCAUUCUUUUCAGAAGACAUCUCCAUCGUCCUUUGAGUCGACUAAAAGCACACUCUUAGCUUGGCUGUGGUGGUAGUUGAAGUAUCCUGAUCGUUAGUUAGGUGGCCAUUGUCAUGAUAAGGCUUCAUGAGCCAGUUCAGAAGGGGGUAUGCUGUCUCCUAGAAGCAUGACAGAGACUGAUGUGCCAUGAAUGUCACGGGUGAUCUAGAAAUGUACAACACACACACACCUAUCUCAUAUCACUGUCUCAUUUCACUAUUACACAUAUGCAAAUCUACAGACAUGACUUUGACUAUGUAUGUGAUACAUACAUUCAUACAUAGGUAAUAUAUAUUUGCAUAACAUCAGAUUAUAAUGCAUGAAUGGAGUCACCAGCCAAUUUUUGGGUUAUGUGCAAGUUUAACAAUAUAAAAACUAGUGAAUCACUGUGGUCUAUAUUCACCAUUUGAAAUAGCUCGUUGUUCUCAGCCAGAUUAUAAAGUGUGGAAUUUCUCAGCACUCUUGCAUCAUGUACGCGUCCUGGCCAUCCAACAUGUGUGUUGAUAAACCUGCCACAUA
This is a long non-coding RNA of Micropterus salmoides (largemouth bass), 858 nucleotides long. RefSeq lists it as uncharacterized. The record is from RefSeq and is a predicted model, not a curated record. Lineage: Eukaryota; Metazoa; Chordata; Actinopteri; Centrarchiformes; Centrarchidae. The transcript is spliced from 2 exons.